Nothobranchius furzeri (turquoise killifish) is the source of this 4716-nucleotide long non-coding RNA. The record is from Ensembl. NCBI's taxonomy places the organism in Eukaryota, Metazoa, Chordata, Actinopteri, Cyprinodontiformes, Nothobranchiidae.
AUAUAUUUUAAGAGUUUCCCUUAAAUGUAGUUCAUGAGAUACUUUUACAACAAUUACACACACACGCUUACAGAGACAAAAACAUCAUAGUCCACCUGUCAACAGUGGGUGAAAAAAGAAGUUUUAAAUGUAGGUUCUGUACUAAAGGAGAACGUCUUCCUGGACAAGUAGAAGACAGUUUAAUGAGAAUUAGAUGAGCACCCUGAAGUUAAAACUGACCAGUAAAAACUGAUGAGGAAGCAGAAAUUAUUCCACAGGAGAAGUAAAAGCAUUACAAGCCACAGGGAAUUGCUACAUUAGAAGUUCACUGGCUAAAAACACAAGUUAGGAUAUCUAAACUCUCCAGUGAGAGGUUUUGUCAACCCAGAGGGAAAGCACAUGUCAAUAUAUCAACUAUCUAAUUACCACACUUGUUGGUUCAGCAUGUUUCCACGUGGGGGAGACGUGCUCCUCCCUAUUCCUACAGUCUUUUUUGUUCCAAUUCAUUAUCCACAAAAAUGUUGAAAUACUUAAAUGUUUCCUGUUUGGAAAGGUGAUGCAAAAAUCCAGAAUACCCUUGAGACACAGAAAGGCAAAGGCAGGAAAAGAAGCAGAUGUGUAUAAAGAAGGGGCAUGGAGAGGAAAAUGACUUCCAGGAGAAGAACUUAAAGUGGCUGGAGGAAAGGAAAAGCAAAGAGGACUGACCUCUCACUGUAGCAUUUCAGCUGUUUGUCAUCUCUUUUCCUAGCGUGGAUUGAUCACAACAAUAUCUGCUCUGAGGGGGCAGAGAGAGGAGACGGAGGAGGGAAAAAAAGCAGUAAACCUUGGCUCAAUUGAGAAAAAAGCAUCUGUGAGUGUGUGUGAGAGAGAGAGUAGAGGAGAGAGAAAAGGUAAGGGAGAGGAGGAGUGAGGCACCCUGUUCUUCCAAGCAAAGCAACCAGAAGAAAACAGAAAAAAAGAAGAAGGGAGCAUUAAAAGUAGAAGAAGGAGGAAGAAGAGUUGUCCCGACAUGGGGCUGUGUGCUGUUUUCCUCAUCUGUCUUUCCCAGGCAGAGUUGGGUAGAGUCUGGGCUCAAGAGCACAAAGGUGUGCUGAGCUGGACAGCUCUGAGGACAGAUGGAGAUGGAUCCAGGUUUCACAGAACCAGGAGGGACCAGCAGAACCACAGAGAAACAGCACAGACAGGAGGAGGUAAGGUACUGGAUAUCAGUACCUUACCAGACAACGUGACCUACAUAGUGGUGAGAUGCAAACAAAUGACACAUUUUACAAUAAACUAUGAGUCUAAAUUUGACGAGUAGCUGCUGAAACAAGCUGAGCAGAUUCUAAAUGGUGCUGUAGACAAACACUAUUCUAAAUCAAUUUUAAAAUGUUUUCAUGGUGUAAUGUUGUAAAACUUAUUUUAUUAACUGCAAUUAACAAAAACGUUGUAGAGUGUACCUGGCAGAACUAACAAGUUUGGAGGUGAAGCACCUGGACUAUUUAUGGGGAGCACAUGACACCUGCGCAAAGUAAACAUGGAGGAGGAUUCAUUAAGACUUUAUCCGUUUGGAUAUUUAUCAUAAACCGGCAGUUUUUAAUCCUGUAGGGCAUGUUUCUCAAUCCUGGUCCUGGAGGGUCGGUGUCUAGCCUAUUUUAGUUGUUUCCCUAACCCAGCACACUUGAUUAACCUGUUCAGUAGCUCAUCAAGCUCUGCAAAAGCCUGUUAAUUUAAAUCAGGUGUGUUGAAGCAGGGUUAAAACUAAAAAAUGCUGAACACCUGCCCUCCGCCCUCCAGGACCAGAAUUGAGAACCACUGCUGUGGGGGAUUAUAACAAACCCUGGUGUCUUGAGAAGCUAUAGACUUGCUCACAUUUGCAGUCAAAGUUUUACUUGUAAACAAUGUAAAAUAUUUACUUACAAGAACCAAAUCCAUUAAAGAGAAUUUUUUUAAAAAAGCAAGAGAACCAGAUUGAUCAUGUAACACAGGGUAAUUCAAUUCCGGGCCUGGAGUGCCAGUAUCCAGCAUGUUUUAAUUGUUUUUCUGCUCCAACACACUAGAUUCAGUGGUUAAACCCGUGCAGCAGCUCUUCGGGCUCUGCAGAAGCCUGUUAAUCACCUGCUGAGUGAAAUCAGGUGUGUUGAAAUGGAGUUAAAAUUAAAAUGUGUUGGAUACUGGCCCUCCAGGACUGGAACUCAAUAACAUGCAUGUGUACGAGAGACAAUGUCCAAGCAGGCUUGUGAUCAAAAACUAUGAGGUGGAAGCACAAAUACAGUCCCACAACAGUAAUGCAAAGACACACGGUCAAAGGGACACAGAUUUGGUCAAAAACACAAACUGUGGAGCACUGGAAUGCUGUGGUUCUGGCUGCAGACAGUCUGGCACUGGGAGAGACUGAGGAGAGCUGAUAUGCUGUGACUCACAGGUGAGGCACGAGUAUGAUUGCAUUGAGCAGCUGCACAUGAGGCACAAUGUAAAUCAGACUAAAUCAAAUGAUGACACGAAGAAAAACGUUUUUUAAGGCGCACUUGCUUCCUUCUUUACCAUCCGAGCCUCUGUAACAGCGUUUCCCCAUUUUAAGUGUUGUGCAGAGCUGCUUUCAAUUGUAAUUUUGAUGAAUCACACCUCAUCUUUCCCAAUGGGUUUUUUGGCUGAAGAAGAGAAAUAUGUGCAGAGUGUUCUUCAACUCACACAGCAAUGACAGUAAAUUGCUGUAAUUUCAGCAUUGUCCAAAAUAAUUGUGAAUACGGUUUUAUUGUUAAACAUGCAGCUUUAACUCAUAAACUUAAUUUGGCUCAAAUUUAAAAAGCAACAAUACCAACAUGUUUGUCUGAAGAAAUGUUGCUUGUCUUUGAAAAUCUUUUGGGGUGGACUCCACAGCAUGUCAUCCUCUAAGUCACACAAUGUGAUGCCUAAACCAACAUUGUCUUGUUUCAUAGCAAAGUUGUUAUUCUCACAUUUAAAAAAGGUCAAACACACCUCUGUAACACAUCGGAACACUUUAUUCUUUACUGGAGAAAAGCCAAAGGUAAAUCCCUUUUGAGGUUUUAUUUUUUUUUUUUGAAAACCUCUGGGAAAGCCCCUGAAAGUUCAUCGCACAAAUUCAAAACACUCACUUAAAAAAUCUUGAAUCUACUGGAAGAAAAAACAUAAACAAGAGAACUGGAACUCAUCAUCUCUAUUGCUGUUUGCAAUGGAAGAACUCUUCUAACUUGAAUAAUUUUAUUUGUUGUAAAGUAAUAAAGUAAAUAUAACAGCUUUAUACUUUUUUACUAAAUAAAUUCAUUGCAUUGAUGCUUAACUGCAAAGUUUGUUUUUAUUUUGAAGAUUGCAUUUUCAGUCAGGCAGUUUGAGGCAGACAGUUAGUGUCCAGUGCCAUUUUUAGCUCAUUCAAUCAGUGUUUGUCUCAUUGCGUUUUGUUUGGGCCCCACACACAGUUUUCACUUAAAUCAGCCUCAGUAAAAUUCAAUCCAAAUAAACCGUGUUGCUCAUUCCGUUCCCCUCUCCCUGGAUCUCAAAUAGAAAACAGACAAAGUGCUGAACCUGCCAGCUAACAAUGUUUCUUUGUCCGCGAGUGUGUGUGUGCGUGCACAUGUACGCUCAUGAAUGAUUCACUUGGACCAGAUCACACAAAGUCCUGCCGUACUUCUGCUGUAAGCGUUUUAAAGAAAACAAAACAAAAUAAAACAAAAAUCAGUCAGCUGAAAAAAUAAAAAAGUUUGUAAGUCUCCUCAACUAGAAAUCCCCCCUUGAGAAAAAUAGGCUGGUGUCAGGCAUUGAAGAUGGAGGAGAAAGUGGGUCAUCGGCUGUAUGUGGAGCAGCCGGAGAGGUUGUGUGAGUUCUGCAUUUAACUGCUAUACUUUCUCAGCCAACACCAAACCCCAUAACCAUUGCUCUCUGUCACCUUGGAGCAUACCAUACAUUAAUAAUGCCAUCAAAACUGGACAUAAGUAGGAAGACACAGGCUGUGUGACACCAUGGAACAUGUGUAAAUAGCUCCCUCAAGUGGAUGUAUGGGCUCAACGAGGGAGAAUAAAUCUGUGAGAAAGACUCUUUCCCUCCUUUUUUAAAUUUAUUUCCUUUUUCUUUGAACAUACCAACAACGCAGACAAUCAAAGCUUUUGUAGCAGAAAUCCACAUUUUAUAUCCUGAGAUUAACUUUGUUUAGAUUCACAUGGAGAAGUACAGUAACAUUUUCACUCAACGGUUUCUUUCACACUUAGCAGAAAAAAGGGGGAAUUUGAAACUGGCCUACAAUCCAACACAUUCUCACUCCCAGCGUGUCAAAAAACAAACGCUUGGUCAGCCACCCUCCGCCUCAGACCCCUAACGCCAAAACUGCCCUUUUUCAUUACUUAUGUGUGAAAAGGGUUUUUUCCCUUUUCUAACUGCAGAUCCCAAUGCAGCGUAAAACUGACGUGAUGGGGUAUCCGCUGAUGCGGCACCGAACCAGCUCAUUUAACCACACCUAAACCUUAACGUUUCACUAUUUAUAACCUUCCCCUCGCCCUCAUCCUAACCUUAACCCUCUUGCUACUUAAAACGUUACUCUCACUGUGAUCAAGCAUCUGUUUCCCAUGCAUUCUGACUGUGAAUUUUCGUAUUUGACGCCCAAGGGGAACACUAGAACAUACCAUCUGGCGAGGGGGAGGUUACAAAUACCCUCUGCUUUUAACCUCCACCUUGGUAGUUGAAAGGUCCCCCUCGCGUUGGCUCGGUCCAAACCCAACCAAUGACGAGGCGGCUCCCGCCGUUCAC